GGGGUCAUGGGCUAAUCUGGUAGACUGGAGCCUUCGGGAGGCUUUGAUCUGAGUUCAAAUCUCAGUGACCCCA
This 73-nucleotide transfer RNA is filed under the name Microcaldota archaeon. RNAcentral's name for it is "tRNA-Pro". It matches the Rfam family "tRNA". Rfam says of the family: Transfer RNA (tRNA) molecules are approximately 80 nucleotides in length. Their secondary structure includes four short double-helical elements and three loops (D, anti-codon, and T loops). Further hydrogen bonds mediate the characteristic L-shaped molecular structure. tRNAs have two regions of fundamental functional importance: the anti-codon, which is responsible for specific mRNA codon recognition, and the 3' end, to which the tRNAs corresponding amino acid is attached (by aminoacyl-tRNA synthetases). tRNAs cope with the degeneracy of the genetic code in two manners: having more than one tRNA (with a specific anti-codon) for a particular amino acid; and 'wobble' base-pairing, i.e. permitting non-standard base-pairing at the 3rd anti-codon position. The record is from RNAcentral. Lineage: Archaea; Nanobdellati; Microcaldota. RNAcentral also lists the same sequence under 1 other name.